Non-coding RNA from Schistosoma margrebowiei, 45 nucleotides. The record is from Rfam. NCBI's taxonomy places the organism in Eukaryota, Metazoa, Platyhelminthes, Trematoda, Strigeidida, Schistosomatidae.
AUCUAGCUGACGAGUCCCAAAUAGGACGAAAUGCGCGUCCUAGAU